GUGGGGAAUAUUGGACAAUGGGCGAAAGCCUGAUCCAGCCAUGCCGCGUGUGUGAAGAAGGUCUUCGGAUUGUAAAGCACUUUAAGUUGGGAGGAAGGGCAGUAAGUUAAUACCUUGCUGUUUUGACGUUACCAACAGAAUAAGCACCGGCUAACUUCGUGCCAGCAGCCGCGGUAAUACGAAGGGUGCAAGCGUUAAUCGGAAUUACUGGGCGUAAAGCGCGCGUAGGUGGUUCAGCAAGUUGAAGGUGAAAUCCCCGGGCUCAACCUGGGAACUGCCUCCAAAACUACUGAGCUAGAGUACGGUAGAGGGUAGUGGAAUUUCCUGUGUAGCGGUGAAAUGCGUAGAUAUAGGAAGGAGCACCAGUGGCGAAGGCGACUACCUGGACUGAUACUGACACUGAGGUGCGAAAGCGUGGGGAGCAAACAGGAUUAGAUACCCCGGUAGUCC
RNAcentral lists this ribosomal RNA (450 nucleotides) under uncultured bacterium. Its description in RNAcentral is "bacterial SSU rRNA". It matches the Rfam family "Bacterial small subunit ribosomal RNA", at positions 354 to 796 of the family's 1533-position model. The record is from RNAcentral.